Unclassified non-coding RNA from Callithrix jacchus (white-tufted-ear marmoset), 301 nucleotides. It matches the Rfam family "Metazoan signal recognition particle RNA". From Rfam's summary of the family: The signal recognition particle (SRP) is a universally conserved ribonucleoprotein. It is involved in the co-translational targeting of proteins to membranes. The eukaryotic SRP consists of a 300-nucleotide 7S RNA and six proteins: SRPs 72, 68, 54, 19, 14, and 9. The record is from Ensembl. Lineage: Eukaryota; Metazoa; Chordata; Mammalia; Primates; Cebidae.
GCCAGGCACGGUGGCCUGUGCCUGUAGUCCCAGCUACUCGGGAGGCUGAGGUGGGAGUAUCGCUUGAGCCCAGGAGUUCUGGGCUGUAGCGUGCUAUGCUGAUCAGAUGUCUGCACUAAGUUCAGCAUCAAUAUGGUGACCUCCCGGGAGUGGGGGACCACCAGGUUGCCUAAGAAGGGGUGAACCGGCCCAGGUCAGAAAUGGAGCAGGUCAAAACUCCCGUGCUGAUCAGUAGUGGGAUGGCACCUGUGAAUAGCCACUGCACUCCAGCCUGGGCAACAUAGCGAGACGCCCAUCUCUU